UCAGGAUGAACGCUGGCGGCGUGCUUAACACAUGCAAGUCGAACGAUGGUCCGGUGCUUGCACCGGGGAUUAGUGGCGAACGGGUGAGUAACACGUGAGUAACCUGCCCUUGACUCUGGGAUAAGCCUGGGAAACUGGGUCUAAUACCGGAUAUGACUCCUCAUCGCAUGGUGGGGGGUGGAAAGCUUUUGCGGUUUUGGAUGGACUCGCGGCCUAUCAGCUUGUUGGUGAGGUAAUGGCUCACCAAGGCGACGACGGGUAGCCGGCCUGAGAGGGUGACCGGCCACACUGGGACUGAGACACGGCCCAGACUCCUACGGGAGGCAGCAGUGGGGAAUAUUGCACAAUGGGCGAAAGCCUGAUGCAGCGACGCCGCGUGAGGGAUGACGGCCUUCGGGUUGUAAACCUCUUUCAGUAGGGAAGAAGCGAAAGUGACGGU
Molecule: ribosomal RNA, 439 nt
Filed under: soil bacterium 08G-03
Lineage: Bacteria
Description: bacterial SSU rRNA
Rfam family: Bacterial small subunit ribosomal RNA
Source: RNAcentral